RNAcentral lists this ribosomal RNA (497 nucleotides) under uncultured bacterium. RNAcentral's name for it is "partial 16S ribosomal RNA". It matches the Rfam family "Bacterial small subunit ribosomal RNA", at positions 28 to 507 of the family's 1533-position model. The record is from RNAcentral.
GAUGAACGCUGGCGGCGUGCCUAAUACAUGCAAGUUGAGCGAACGGACGAGAAGCUUGCUUCUCUGAUGUUAGCGGCGGACGGGUGAGUAACACGUGGAUAACCUACCUAUAAGACUGGGAUAACUUCGGGAAACCGUAGCUAAUACCGGAUAAUAUUUUGAACCGCAUGGUUCAAAAGUGAAAGACGGUCUUGCUGUCACUUAUAGAUGGAUCCGCGCUGCAUUAGCUAGUUGGUAAGGUAACGGCUUACCAAGGCAACGAUGCAUAGCCGACCUGAGAGGGUGAUCGGCCACACUGGAACUGAGACACGGUCCAGACUCCUACGGGAGGCAGCAGUAGGGAAUCUUCCGCAAUGGGCGAAAGCCUGACGGAGCAACGCCGCGUGAGUGAUGAAGGUCUUCGUAUCGUAAAACUCUGUUAUUAGGGAAGAACAUAUGUGUAAGUAACUGUGCACAUCUUGACGGUACCUAAUCAGAAAGCCACGGCUAACUACGUG